AGCAGCCGCGGUAAUUCCAGCUCCAAUAGCGUAUAUUAAAGUUGUUGCAGUUAAAAAGCUCGUAGUUGAAUUUCGGGAUCAAUACGUCGGUCGUGCUUAGGUACGUACUGGCGUAAUUGAUUUCUCCCUUCUGACGAACCAUGAUGUCAUUAACUUGGUGUCAUGGGAAAUCAGGACUGUUACUUUGAAAAAAAUUAGAGUGUUUAAAGCAGGCUCACGCUUGAAUACAUUAGCAUGGAAUAAUGAAAUAGGACGUUCGAUCCUAUUUUGUUGGUUUUAGGAUCAACGUAAUGAUUAAUAGGGAUAGUUGGGGGCAUUAGUAUUCAAUUGUCAGAGGUGAAAUUCUUGGAUUUAUUGAAGACUAACUACUGCGAAAGCAUUUGCCAAAGAUGUUUUCAUUAAUCAAGAACGAAAGUUAGGGGAUCGAAGACGAUCAGAUACCGUCGUAGUCUUAACCAUAAACUAUGACCGACGUAGGGAUCGGAUGAUGUUAAUUUUUAUGUACUCUAUUCGG
Molecule: ribosomal RNA, 514 nt
Filed under: uncultured Glomus
Lineage: Eukaryota; Fungi; Glomeromycota; Glomeromycetes; Glomerales; Glomeraceae
Description: SSU rRNA
Rfam family: Eukaryotic small subunit ribosomal RNA
Source: RNAcentral